UACGUAGGGUCCGAGCGUUGUCCGGAAUUACUGGGCGUAAAGAGCUCGUAGGUGGUUUGUCGCGUUGUUCGUGAAAACUCACAGCUUAACUGUGGGCGUGCGGGCGAUACGGGCAGACUUGAGUACUGCAGGGGAGACUGGAAUUCCUGGUGUAGCGGUGGAAUGCGCAGAUAUCAGGAGGAACACCGGUGGCGAAGGUGGGUCUCUGGGCAGUAACUGACGCUGAGGAGCGAAAGCGUGGGGAGCGAACAGG
RNAcentral lists this ribosomal RNA (253 nucleotides) under uncultured bacterium. RNAcentral's name for it is "partial 16S ribosomal RNA". It matches the Rfam family "Bacterial small subunit ribosomal RNA", at positions 524 to 776 of the family's 1533-position model. The record is from RNAcentral.